Oryza meridionalis is the source of this 202-nucleotide non-coding RNA. The record is from Rfam. NCBI's taxonomy places the organism in Eukaryota, Viridiplantae, Streptophyta, Magnoliopsida, Poales, Poaceae.
AAUAAGUGCAGUUUUGCAUUAUUCAUAUCCAAUGUAUGACCGUUUGUCUUAUUUGAAAUUUUUUUAUGAUUGAUAUUUUUUUAUUAGAUGAUAAAACAUGAAAAGUAUUUUAUGUGUGACAAUUUUUUUAAUUUUUUCAUAAUUUUUCCAAAUAAGACGAAUGGUCAAACGUCGGACACGGAUACUCACAGCUGCACUUAUU